UAAGAGCUUUAAUGCCCUUUUUUUUUUUUUUAGAAUAAAUCCAUCGGGUUCCGUCACAUGUGCGCUCCUAUCUGUGGGAUCAUAAACCCCAACGUCCCGUUUAUGGCCUGGCACUGCCACACGAACAAAGGGACAGCAGGAACCCGGCCCAGGGGGGGAGGUGGCUGCUCUUUACCAGGAUCAUUCUUGUGUGUCCCAGUGGCUGCUGGGCUCCAGAACAUGAGCCAUUAUGUUUUACUGCCUCAGUUGUCUUGGAGGAGCUGUGUCUGUUCAGGAGGAGUUUGGAGAAGAUCAGGAGGGAAAAGUGUCCUGGUUGAGGCCACCGUGGCCCUGCUGUGCCUCCAGCUGGGGUUUCAUUGCCUUUUCCACAGUGCUUUGUGGAAGAAAAUCACCAAGUCCACUUUAAACUCUAUCAAAAAGAGCCUCCCAUCUCCAAGAGUAAUGAUUUUUCAUGGAAUCAUUUAUAGAAUAAUAGAACCAUUUAGGUUGGAAGAGAUCUUUGAGAUCCUUGAGUCCAGCUGGGAUUUUUGGGGUGUUUCUCCUGUGCAAUGGGAUCAUUGUUCCUGGAGCAGAGGGGCUUGAUGUUACACCAGGUGGAUGAAUGGAUUUUUUACGUGGAUUUGCUGUGUGACAUCUUUUUAAUGGGGAUGGUGCUGGCGAGUGUUGUUUUCCCUGUGGAAUCCACAUCUGGCUGGACAAGGAAGGAAAGGACUGAGGAAAAACCUUUGUCCUUCUCUCCCAGCAGUCACAGAAAACUAAUUUUGUCCAGGCAAGUUCAUUUUGAGCUGGUGUUUUGUCACAGGAGGAGCUGAUUGUAAGUGGAGUUGCCAAAUUCGUCAGAAUUCUUUGUGGAUAAUGUAAAUACAUUUCUAGUGAGUAAUGA
Passer domesticus (house sparrow) is the source of this 883-nucleotide long non-coding RNA. RefSeq lists it as uncharacterized. Lineage: Eukaryota; Metazoa; Chordata; Aves; Passeriformes; Passeridae. The record is from RefSeq and is a predicted model, not a curated record. The transcript is spliced from 5 exons.